AUGAACUCUAACUCCAACCCCAACCCUUUCCCCUGGGGCAUUGGAUGGAGGGCCUUCUUCCUUUGGUGCUCGCUCGGUGACCGCAAGAAGUUCGAGCAAACCAUGGAAGUGUGCUCGAACUUCAGCAGCUGCGAUGACAUGCACAAGGAGGCCGAUGUUGUGCUCAAGAAGGCUACGCCGGACGAGCUGAAGACACUGGUUCCCGACCCAGCCGAGGGCGCGAUGUUAGCGGACAACCUGUGUUGGGCCAUGAAUCAGGCAUACUUCGGCGACGGUCGACAGCGGGCAAGAUGGGCCAAGUACAGUCAGUACAAGGCGCCUCAAGACUAG
RNAcentral lists this ribosomal RNA (330 nucleotides) under Triticum aestivum (bread wheat). RNAcentral describes it as "partial small subunit ribosomal RNA". Lineage: Eukaryota; Viridiplantae; Streptophyta; Magnoliopsida; Poales; Poaceae. The record is from RNAcentral.